Molecule: long non-coding RNA, 734 nt
Filed under: Pan troglodytes (chimpanzee)
Lineage: Eukaryota; Metazoa; Chordata; Mammalia; Primates; Hominidae
Description: long non-coding RNA NONPTRT012729
Source: RNAcentral
GAGUCAGCUGCUGUCGUGCCACAGUCUCUGUUUAUUAUGUUCUUAUUAUCUUUCUUAUUAUGAAAGGAAAGAGCUAAAUGUGUUCAUGUGUUUGCAGGAUGAUAGACAACUUAACCAUGUCAUAGGGCAACAGGAAGGAUAGAAGUGGAGGGAAAAAGAGCAAGCAACUUUUCUUCUAUUCGAUUGGGAAGGAGUUUGGAACUGCAGACCCGUCAGCUAUAAGGAAGUCUGGUGUGAAUGCCCAGCCUUGCCCCAGAGGGGAAUGGGUCCUCACUGAGUACUCCUGCAUCCACCUGCUUUCCCAUCUCCCCGUUUGUACAGAAAAGAAGAUAAAGACAUUAUUUAAUUAUCCUCUUCGGGAUAUGAAAGUACCACGUGGAAGAUGGAGGCCAACUAUUUCUUCUUCAGGAGAGUCAAAAGAACCACAUUGAAGAAGAGGUUCACAACAGAUGCUAAAAAAUCUAAGGGUGCUCAUGGCCCGAAUACGUUUCCAGGCAGAGUUUGUGAGCAGAGUUCACAAAGGUGCGGAUGAAGACUGUUCGCUGGGCUUCACUAGUACAAGGACAGGCUGACAGUGCAAAGACGAAGAGGAACGGUCCCAGCCAUCAGGAAACUCAGCAGCUUGGAAGAUACUAAACAGCCACUCCUCCAGGAUGUAAGUUCCCUCAUUACAAAGGUGCCAUAUUAAGAAACAUCUUUAUAAAUUAAAGGAAGCAGGGUUGGCAGGAUUGAAG